Molecule: ribosomal RNA, 497 nt
Filed under: uncultured bacterium
Lineage: Bacteria
Description: partial 16S ribosomal RNA
Rfam family: Bacterial small subunit ribosomal RNA
Source: RNAcentral
GAUGAACGCUGGCGGCGUGCCUAAUACAUGCAAGUCGAGCGAACAGACGAGGAGCUUGCUCCUCGGACGUUAGCGGCGGACGGGUGAGAAACACGUGGAUAACCUACCUAUAAGACUGGUAAAACUACGGGAAACCGGAGCUAAUACCGUAGAAGAUAUUGAAGCGCAUGGUGCGAUAGUGAAAGACGGUGUUUCGGGCACGUAUAGAUGCAUCCGGGCCGCAUUGGGUAGUUGGUACGGUAACGGGUUACCAAGGGAACGAUGCGUAGCCGGAGUGAGAGGGUGAUCGCCGACAUGGGAACGGAGCCACGGACCAUACUCCUAAGGGAGGGAGCAGUCGGGAAUCUUACGCAAUGGGCGAAAGCUUGACGGAGUAACGCGGAGUGAGUGAUGACGGUCUUCGGUUCGUAAAACUCUGUUAUUAGGGAAGAUCAAAUGUGUAAGUAACUAUGCACGUCUUGACGGUACCUAAUAAGAAAGCAACGGCUAACUACGUG